Molecule: unclassified non-coding RNA, 248 nt
Filed under: plant metagenome
Description: partial contains small subunit ribosomal RNA and internal transcribed spacer 1
Rfam family: Eukaryotic small subunit ribosomal RNA (bases 1-46)
Source: RNAcentral
AAGUCGUAACAAGGUUUCCGUAGGUGAACCUGCGGAAGGAUCAUUACCCGAGGGGAGGGGGCUCCGCGCCCCCCGGGGGGUUUCGCCCCCCAACUCUUCACCCCACUGUUUACCUACCUUUGUUGCUUUUGGCGGGGCCCCUGGGGGCACGCCCCCACGCUGGCUUUUCGGGCCCUGUGAGCGCCCCGUCAAAGGCCCAUUAAAUUCCUUUAAUCAGUGUUGUCCGAGCAAAAAACACAAUAGUAAAA